Molecule: long non-coding RNA, 605 nt
Filed under: Bos taurus (domestic cattle)
Lineage: Eukaryota; Metazoa; Chordata; Mammalia; Artiodactyla; Bovidae
Description: long non-coding RNA NONBTAT011519
Source: RNAcentral
UAGCUGUGUAUCUGGUCAGCUGAAGAAAAAUAAAGCCUAAAUGACCAUCCCCCCAAAUCUAUGCCAUGUGGGCCCUUUUGAGUAGGGGAGACUAGUCCAGCAUUGAGUCAAGCCUUAAGGGAGAAAUAUUGAAGAUGAUCAUUUUCAGAAAGAACUGAGAAAGUAAAAAUUAUGAAUAAAUAGUUCCUUAUGGUGGGAGGCGGUCUGGAGAGUUGGGGUAAGACAUGGCUCCUCUGAAACAGAAGUUUAUAGAUAGAUACAAAAGCUCAAGAAAUAAAUGAUAAAAUAUAAGAGUGGAGCUAAUGGAACCAAAGUAUGAAAUAAAAGAGAAAUGUAUAGUUAUUAUAAAAAUGAAGGUUACUUUCAAAGCAGCACAUAUAUCUGAUAGCUGAGGAUAAUGGAGGUAAACUUGAGAAAUUUGAGCAAUUCAAAAUGGAAAAAGUAAAAAUAAAGCCUAGAGACAGAUACAGAAGACAGUAAAUUUAGCAUGCCUAUAAUUGAUACCUCUAAAAAAUAGAAUAAAUGAAAUAGAAAAACAGUUUCAAGACAUUAAAGCAUUUCCCACAAUAAAAAAAUGAGUUUAAAUUCUAAAAUGAUCUCUAGAC